This 762-nucleotide ribosomal RNA is filed under the name Triticum aestivum (bread wheat). RNAcentral's name for it is "partial small subunit ribosomal RNA". The record is from RNAcentral. Lineage: Eukaryota; Viridiplantae; Streptophyta; Magnoliopsida; Poales; Poaceae.
AUGGUGCUGGUGUCAAGGAGCGCAGCUGCAGCGAGGGGCUGCACGGCGAGGGAGUUGGGGAGGAGGAGAGUCGCGGCGAGGGCAGCGGCGAGCACGAUGAGCGGCAAGAAGAGCCUGCCAUGCCGCGCCAGGAGGAGGGUGACGUCCUUCCAAGGGCGACCGCCGAAGUUGGGCUGCCGCCUCGCUUCUUCAGUCAUCAGUCGUUCAGAUGGGCCUGCCAGGACCUGCACCUUUCUCAUGCCUGUGCUAAAAUUUCAAAUAUCUAUUAAUAGUCCCACCCUGCUCUUUUACAUGAAAUCUUACGAACUUAUAUACACUCAUGCGUUGCAAGAUCAACAAGCCAAAAAAGAGAGGAUGAGAGGUGCCUGCCGCAUGUAUUAUGCGUCACCAAUCAAAAAUGAACAAAAGGAGGAGAGGCGCAUAAUGGAAAGAAAGGUCUCAGUUAAAUUGCCAGUCAUGGAAAAGAACAGUGUUGGGGGCAUUCACCGGAGCCAGCAUGGCCGGCCGCCAGAUCUGGCGAGCAACCGAGCCACUGCACACCGGCUCCGUUGCCCGCAGCCACCCACCGGGGUGAGCUACACCACCACGGCACGGGGACUCCGCCCCGGCCCCCGUGCACCGACGAGCACGCCGCCUCGGGCCCUGUGCACCGACGAGCACGCCGCCACCACCCCAGCUGUUGCAGCAAACACGCCGGCGCGGCCAGCCGGCUGGCUAGCCACCGCGGGCGAGAAGAGGAGAGCAUCGCUUGGCUGGUGUUAG